Molecule: ribosomal RNA, 450 nt
Filed under: uncultured bacterium
Lineage: Bacteria
Description: bacterial SSU rRNA
Rfam family: Bacterial small subunit ribosomal RNA
Source: RNAcentral
GUGGGGAAUAUUGGACAAUGGGCGAAAGCCUGAUCCAGCCAUGCCGCGUGUGUGAAGAAGGUCUUCGGAUUGUAAAGCACUUUAAGUUGGGAGGAAGGGCAGUAAGUUAAUACCUUGCUGUUUUGACGUUACCGACAGAAUAAGCACCGGCUAACUUCGUGCCAGCAGCCGCGGUAAUACGAAGGGUGCAAGCGUUAAUCGGAAUUACUGGGCGUAAAGCGCGCGUAGGUGGUUGUGUAAGUUGGAGGUGAAAUCCCCGGGCUCAACCUGGGAACUGCCUCCAAAACUGCAUGACUAGAGUACGGUAGAGGGUAGUGGAAUUUCCUGUGUAGCGGUGAAAUGCGUAGAUAUAGGAAGGAACACCAGUGGCGAAGGCGACUACCUGGACUGAUACUGACACUGAGGUGCGAAAGCGUGGGGAGCAAACAGGAUUAGAUACCCUAGUAGUCC